This 253-nucleotide ribosomal RNA is filed under the name uncultured bacterium. Its description in RNAcentral is "partial 16S ribosomal RNA". It matches the Rfam family "Bacterial small subunit ribosomal RNA", at positions 524 to 776 of the family's 1533-position model. The record is from RNAcentral.
UACGAAGGGGGCUAGCGCUGCUCGGAAUUACUGGGCGUAAAGGGCGCGUAGGCGGCGUGUCAAGUCAGGCGUGAAAGCCCCGGGCUCAACCUGGGAACCGCGCUUGAGACUGGCAUGCUCGAGUUCGGGAGAGGAUGGUGGAAUUCCCAGUGUAGAGGUGAAAUUCGUAGAUAUUGGGAAGAACACCGAUGGCGAAGGCAGCCAUCUGGACCGACACUGACGCUGAGGCGCGAAAGCGUGGGGAGCAAACAGG